This 960-nucleotide ribosomal RNA is filed under the name uncultured Syndiniales. Its description in RNAcentral is "SSU rRNA". It matches the Rfam family "Eukaryotic small subunit ribosomal RNA", at positions 612 to 1597 of the family's 1831-position model. Lineage: Eukaryota; Dinophyceae; Syndiniales. The record is from RNAcentral.
GUUGCGGUAAAAAAGCUCGUAGUUGGAUUUCUGUUGAGGACGACCGGUCCGUACCAUGUACGCGCAUCUGGUUCGGCCUCGGCAUCCUCUCGAUAGACGUUUCUGCGCUUGAUUGCGUGGAGCGGAUUUCGGGACUUUUACUUUGAGGAAAUUAGAGUGUUCACGGCAGGCUAUCGCCAGAAUACAUUAGCAUGGAAUAAUACUAUAGGAUCUCGGUUCUAUUUUGUUGGUUUCUAGACCCGGGGUAAUGAUUAAUAGGGACAAUUGGGGGCAUUUGUAUCAACACGUCAGAGGUGGAAUUCUUGGAUUGUGUUGCGACAAACUACUGCGAAAGCAUUUGCCAAGGAUGUUUUCAUUGAUCAAGAACGAAAGUAAGGGGAUCGAAGACGAUUAGAUACCGUCGUAUUUUUUACCAUAAACUAUGCCGACUAGAGAUGGGGCAUCGUUCACUUACGACUUGCUCCGCAUCUUAUGAGAUAUCAAAGUCUUUGGGUUCCGGGGGGAGUAUGGUCGCAAGUCUGAAACUUAAAGGAAUUGACGGAAGGGCACCACCAGGAGUGGAGCCUGCGGCUUAAUUUGACUCAACACGGGGAAACUCACCAGGUCCAGACAUAAUAAGGAUUGACAGAUUGAUAGCUCUUUCUUGAUUUUAUGGGUGGUGGUGCAUGGCCGUUCUUAGUUCGUGGAGUGAUUUGUCUGCUUAAUUGCGUUAACGAACGAGACCUUAACCUGCUAAAUAGGAGCGCAUAUCUCCGGAUAAGCGCCUUUCUUCUUAGAGGGACUGCAUGCGUUUCAGUAUGCGGAAGUUUGAGGCUAAAACAGGUCUGUGAUGCCCUUAGAUGUUCUGGGCUGCACGCGCGCUACACUGAUGCGUUCAACGAGUGUACAACCUUGCCCGAUAGGGUUGGGUAACCUUUUGAACACGCAUCGUGAUGGGGAUUGAGUAUUGCAAUUAUUACU